This is a long non-coding RNA of Oncorhynchus tshawytscha (Chinook salmon), 466 nucleotides long. Lineage: Eukaryota; Metazoa; Chordata; Actinopteri; Salmoniformes; Salmonidae. The record is from Ensembl.
AUACAGUAUAGUGCACUACUUAGGCACCCUAUUCCCUAUAUACAGUAUAGUGCACUACUUAGGCACCCUAUUCCCUAUAUAAAGUAUAGUGCACUGCUUAGGCACCCUAUUCCCUAUAUACAGUAUAGUGCACUACUUAGGCACCCUAUUCCCUAUAUACAGUAUAGUGCACUACUUAGGCACCCUAUUCCAUAUAUACAGUAUAGUGCACUGCUUAGGCACCCUAUUCCCUAUAUACAGUAUAGUGCACUACUUAGGCACCCUAUUCCCUAUAUACAGUAUAGUGCACUACUUAGGCACCCUAUUCCCUAUAUACAUUAUAGUGCACUACUUAGGCACCCUAUUCCCUAUACACAGUAUAGUGCACUACUUAGGCACCCUAUUCCCUAUAUACAGUAUAGUGCACUACUUAAGCACCCUAUUCCCUAUAUACAGUAUAGUGCACUGCUUAGGCACCCUAUUCCCU